This 4322-nucleotide long non-coding RNA is filed under the name Brassica napus (rape). RNAcentral describes it as "long non-coding RNA (BNAP_LNC000100)". The record is from RNAcentral. Lineage: Eukaryota; Viridiplantae; Streptophyta; Magnoliopsida; Brassicales; Brassicaceae.
AGGUACAUAAGCAUAUCGUACGCUAGUUACUUGCUGCAUAAACCACUUUCCCUUUCAAAAUUUAUAGCUUGAUAUUGAUACCAUUGAGCAGCAUUCUGGCAUCAACCUUUUUGCUGAUUAAGUGGAUCAUAACCUCUUGAACGCAUUGGGGUUGUCUCUUGAGUACUAUUUGACAUUCUCUUCUUUGAAUUUUUCUUCUUUCAGUUCCAAAAGAUAAAAGAUGCCAUCCGACUGCACAAUACAGAUCGAUGCAGCAUUGGUCCAGCCAAGGGACCUGAAGGGUUUACCUUGGAAUCUUUAUCCGUGCAGACGAAUGCAGCCAAGCCAGCUUGAUCGCCAACCUUUUAGAUUCAUUUCUGUAACAAUCUUUGGUUGCUCACGCAAACACUGAACUUAAUAUUCUGUAUAUCUGUCACUUUAUCUGUAUAAAAAAAUCCUUCCUGAAGCAUGUUAUGAUACUUUUGCGAAUAGACAAAUCGCACAUGUAUUUUAACUAACUGCUUCGUAAUUGCUACCAAAGCAAAGCUUAUUGAUGUAUGAUGCACGUGUUAGGUUUAAUAUAUUUGCAUAAUUUUGGGUUAUAUUGCCAAGUUUCUCAGAACGAGCAAUUGUGAUAAGACAAUGAGUACAAUAUUUUCUUAAUUUUCAAUUCAUCUUAUUAUAUACUUACAAAGUCUGUAGUUUGUGUAAUCUUUGCUCUGUUCUUCGAUCUUUCAAUAAAUAAUAUUUCAGUGAAAAAAAAAACUUCUCAAGACUCAAGUGGAAGUAAAGAUAAGUCAAGGGGCCAAAACCCAAACGUAAUAGGACUAUGAGGACUGUUUGAUAAAUAUUUUAACGAUUAAAGUCUUUUUUUUUUUAUCUGUGUCUGUUUCCAGAUUCACGCGCCGCCGCGAAAACGAGUAAAGAAAAAUCCAAAACUCGGCGAAGGUUGAGAAAGGAGAAAGGUGAGAGAUGCAAUCCCAAGGAAUAUGGAGCACACUAUGGAGGAAAUACGCAGAUUAUAAGUACAACAAGUUCGAGAGGUUCGCUGUCUGGGAGAUGAUCGAGCCUUACCGUCGACCCAAAACCUUCACAGCUUUGAUUACUAUCUACGUCGCCGCCUUUUACACCGGCGUCAUCGGGGCUGCGGUUACAGAGCAGCUUUACAAGGUAACCUUCGCCAGUGUUAUCGAUUCCACUCGGGUUGUGAUUAGAUUUUGUGGGUUUCUCGUGAUUUGCAAUUCUAGGGUUUCGAAUUGGGAUAAAGUUGAAACCUUUCUUUUGGUGAUGAUCGAGAUUUAGGGAUAAAGUUGAAACCUUUCUUACACUGUUUGAUGUGAACCAAUUACAAGACUAAAGUUAUGCUUCUUGUUCUUCUGUAUGCUUAUGGUUACUCCACUGAUAUUAUAUAAACAGGAGAAGUUUUGGGAAGAGCACCCAGGCAAAACGGUGCCUCUGAUGAAGCCAUUGUACUAUCGAGGACCAUGGAGGGUUUAUCGUGGUGAAGCUAUUGCUUCUGAUGCUAGCAGCAGCCAGUGAGGGUGCUGAGCUUCGCUGGUAUAUAUACAAAACAACUUUGUGUUCUGUAGAAUGCUUGUGUCGCCCCUACUUUGAGUUGUUUCUAGGUUUAUAUGAAUUAAAGCUGGCUGGUAUAUUUUUCUUGUAGACAAUAAGGUUAAGAAUUUGAUUCUUGAAACUCAUGUAAUGGCAGUCUUUGUUAUAACAUUAAGGUUUUGCUAUGAGAAGUUUAAGGGUUUCCAUCCACUCCUUUGAAUCUCUCUCUCUCUCUCCCCUUUCCAUUAUUAGUACAUUGGUAUCUACCUCUCUUCUGGUGUCCUGAAAUAAAACAUUCCAAAUGAGAGAGACGUUCUAACCACCUCAGAAACAUCGAGCCACCAUAGAUUUAUCUCUUGACAGUCUUGUCUUCAUAUAGGUUCCUUUGGUUUUAUUCUCUGUUUCUCUCUUCUUGUCUUGGUGGUCGUUUGUGAUCGAAUAUGACAACGUACGGCACUAUACCAUCCCAAGCAAAUGCCGUCCCGAACCAGAGCAUGUUGGGACGAGCAAAAGGGUUGAUCUCGUUAGGCCUUAGCUCUCGGAGACCAUGGCUUGAACUUGUCCAGUGGAGCUCCCUUAGCCUUCCUACCUCAUUCACUGUUGCCACAGAACGAAUCAAAACCAACAUCAUGAUCUUCCGAACCAACUAUCUUGUCAUCUUCGUUGUUGCUAUCUUCAUCAGCAUGCUUUGGCAGCCUGUCCACCUCUCAGUCUUCGUUGUCCUGAUCAUCGCAUGGCUAUAUGUCUACUCCCGGGAUAACGAACCACUGGUGAUAUUUGGCAGUGUGAUCGAUGACUCUGCUUUGGUGCUGACUUUGUUGGUCCUCACGCUCUGUAUUAUUCUAUUAACUAACGUAACCGGUGGUAUUCUGCUCGCGGUUUUGGCUGGUCUGCCCGUUGUUCUAGUGCAUGGCAUGUGUAGGAAUACAGAGUCAUUGUUCGUCUUGGAAGAUGAUGAAGAGAAAGUAGCCACAAUGAGCGUAGUAUCCUCCUCGCUUUCUUCUUCCUCUUUAACAAAAUGAAACAUUAUGUUUAUGUAAUGAUACAAGUUUCAGACCUUAGUGACACCAUAUUUAGCUAGUCUCUAGGUACUACCAUAUUUUCUAAAAAAUUGCUUGUGGGCGUAAUAAAUAUUCUCUUCUUCUCUGAAUGCAAAUAGUAUGAUAGAAAAACUUUGGAGAUCUUUGCAAUUCCAGUAUAGAAUACUUGUUUUAAUAAAUCCAGAUAAAAGUAGUUUCAUGUAUUUUAUGUAAAUAGUCAAUUCUAUACAUCAAUCUUUUACUCUUUUUCUUUGAAAUUGCACACUUACUGGUACCAUUAAAAUCACUGCAGUGGCAGUACCAUUAAUUAAAAGGUAUUACUAUUUAUUAUAUGAACCCAAUAAGAAAAUAAACAUUCUAUAUAAUUAUUAAAGUUGAUAUCAUUAUCCUUCAAUAUUGUAGUAAUUGUAAUUGCCCUACUGGGUUAUAGUUUUACCUUACAUUUUUUCGUAAUAUUUUAUUUAAUAAGAAUUUUCCUUGCGUUUCCGCUAUAUUUUCAUAGUUCUUAGGAGUUACUUGUCUAGUGGCAAAUCGCAAUGGAAGACAUUAGUAAGGCCGUUGCCAUUGGAUAACUUCUUUAAAAUCAUCCUCUUUGUCUUCUCGUGACUAAUAACCAAGACAUAUUUCUUCUCCACCAAAACUGCUUGAACAAUAUUAUUGAACUCUGUGCCUCCUCCUCUAGCCACAAAAGCUAUUAGUAGUUUAUUUGAAAAGGCUAAUUUUUAUAUUGAUUGAUUGUUGCGUUGGUUACGUCACUGUGGUGUUAUAUACCUUCUAUAUAUGAAUCAUAUACAGAAUAUGUUUUUGAGAGAUUUGAAAAAAUACUACAAUGAUUAUCAUCAGGUCCAUAAUAUACGUAAAUCUUCACUAGUUUUGAAAAAAAAUAUGAGAAAAGCAAAAAAAAAAGCAAAAUAUUGUCAAAAUACAAUAAAAUUAUGAUAAAAAUAAAUUUAAAAUAGAAAAUAUUAUCAAGUAAAUAUGAUAUAAAAUAGAUUAAACCCAAUAAUAGAUAUAAUUGUUAAUAAUUAGUUGAUUAAUACAAAUAUAGAAAUAAACUAUAUUUUGUUAACUAUUUGAGUAAAGUAAAAAAUAAUUGUUAGGAUCUUGAAGAUUUGUAACAUGAACACUAACUCUUUAACUGUAGUUCAAAAAAAGAAAAAAAGUCAAAACACUAACUCAUUAACUUAAAUGAGUUAUGGACUAACAUAUAAGAUCAAAACUAUUUAGAUAUAGUUUCAAUAGAAUAUCACAUGUGUGUAUUCUAAAAUCAAUACUAUUAAAACAGUAACACGAAAUAUGGACCUAACUUGAUCCUAGGUAGAGUAUUUAAAAAAACUAUAUCUUAUACAAUUUAACUAACAUGUAAUGUUAUUAACUAUAUAUCUUUAAAUAUAGUUUAAAUAUGGUAAGAUUUAAAGAAAUAAAUCUAAACAAAUAUCUCAGUCAAUUAUGUAUUAAUUGAGAUCUUACAUAUCAAAUUCCUUUUAAUGCAACUAUAAUAAAUUAUAUUUUGAAAUAUUUCUGACAUUUUAAAGCUUAGUUCUCAUUCUCAAACAAUAUAAAUAAGAAAAAAAAAUUAAUAUAUGCAGCAUUGGUCCAGCCAAGGGACCUGAAGGGUUUACCUUGGAAUCUCUAUCCGUGCAGACGAAUGCAGCCCAACCAGCUGGAUCAAGUUGAAAUGUCACAUUGGUAGAUUUAUUACUGCAACAAUCUAUGGUUGCUCAAGCAAACACUGAGCUUACUAUUCUG